GGGAUGAUGGCUCAGUGGUUAAGAGCACUGGAAACUCUCCCAGUGAACCUGGGCUCAAUUCCUAGUACCCA
RNAcentral lists this transfer RNA (71 nucleotides) under Mus musculus (house mouse). It matches the Rfam family "tRNA". Rfam says of the family: Transfer RNA (tRNA) molecules are approximately 80 nucleotides in length. Their secondary structure includes four short double-helical elements and three loops (D, anti-codon, and T loops). The record is from Rfam by way of RNAcentral. Lineage: Eukaryota; Metazoa; Chordata; Mammalia; Rodentia; Muridae.